ACCCCAUCCCCUUCAUGCACACCCCAUUCCAAAUGCUAUCCUGUCACAGCAGAUGCCACAUCACUUUUGGGGUGGGCUAAGAGAUCAAGGACAUAUGCCGUGCCCAAAUUUCAUCUAAUAAUUAAAAAUACGGGAAGAGAUACAAAAGGGAAAACACAGGAUGCUCUGGAAACUUGUUAUAGGCAGGGAGUGGGAAGGAGACCUAGAGCCAGAGGAAGCUACUACUGGAAAAAGGAGUAGAACUGAGCCAGGCAAAUAGGAGAGAAAAUGUAUUUCAGGCAGAAGAAACAGCACUCUGGAAACCCAACAUCUAGCCUUUGAGAAUGUAAAAUGAAGCCAGGAUGACACUACUAAUUCCAAGCUGUGUGUGUGUGCACGCAUGUGCAUGUAUGUGUGUAUAUAUUAGAUGUAUAUUUUAACAUUCUGACUUAACAUUAACAUAUUAAUAUUUAUUUAUUGAAAUAUUUAACGUGUAUUUUAAUAUUAAAUUCUGGAUUUCCAAACCA
Molecule: non-coding RNA, 506 nt
Filed under: Pongo abelii (Sumatran orangutan)
Lineage: Eukaryota; Metazoa; Chordata; Mammalia; Primates; Hominidae
Source: RNAcentral